AACAUAUUAAAGACCUAGGGUCUUUUGAUUUAAGGUCUUUGGUUUGUGACCUUGAAAUUGAGGUCAAGGUCAUAGGUUAAUAGGACGUUCUAGAUUUUGACCUUUGCUUUAAAUUCAUAUAAAUACAUCAUAAAGCCAUAGGAACUAACAUUUUAAACUGAUUUUUCAUAUUUCAAUAUCAAAAUAGAUCUUUACUAGUGGAAAGACCUUCAAUUGUUCUCUGAACAAUUGGUUUUUAAUUAUUUUUUUUUUUUUUUUUUUCUUCCGCCUAAUUUUUUUUCUUGCGUAGUAUUGAUGUUUCAAAAGAUGUCGCUUAGAUAUUUGGAAUAUGAUAUCGUAUAGUUUUAUACGCUUUAAAACUUUACAACUGCGUAACAAAAUACUUUACGUUGUAAGAGUUAUCUCCCCAAACACUGUUUUUCUUGUGGCCACUACUCCUUCGCAACCGUAAAAGAUUACGACAAAUU
This 467-nucleotide long non-coding RNA is filed under the name Mytilus galloprovincialis (Mediterranean mussel). The record is from RNAcentral. Lineage: Eukaryota; Metazoa; Mollusca; Bivalvia; Mytilida; Mytilidae.